Myotis daubentonii (Daubenton's bat) is the source of this 1299-nucleotide long non-coding RNA. RefSeq lists it as uncharacterized. NCBI's taxonomy places the organism in Eukaryota, Metazoa, Chordata, Mammalia, Chiroptera, Vespertilionidae. The record is from RefSeq and is a predicted model, not a curated record.
GUAAGAGAAGGCUUAAAAAGACGAGUCCUGUAAGGAGCCUGCCCAGCCUGGGCACAGCGCGGACGCUCAACAGAACUCUCUGCCUAGUCGGGUGAUUCACUGAGAUGUGCCCCAACAGAACUGUUAGUAACAAAGCCUUGAGGGGGGGGGGGGGGGGCCUGGAGCUGGAGCCGAAGAGGCCUGUUAACUCCGGACUUGGAUUGUCCGAGGUUUCAGCCUGCCUCCACUUAGACAAGUGUCUUAGCCUCAACGGCCUCCAACUUCACUGGCCUAAUGAGGGUAAUGACUACCAACCUCGGAGAACUGCAGUAAGAAUUACGUGAGCACAUUCUACGGAGAGCACUUAGAACUCCCCUGGCCCGUGGUAAUCCCUCCAUACACACAGCGGCCGCUAUCAUCGGCUGGAGCACCGCAGGCGAGCCUAGUUACAAGGAUGGAGUCUCCACUGAAAAAGACUGGAAGUCCCAUUCUUCUGGAUUAGAGGGGAGGCACGCGUUGCCAGACUCCUGGACAGCUUGUACAGGGGCAUAUCUUGACCAGCAACAAAGUCUUCCCAGGAGAGGAGGAACUAUUGGCCCAGAUCACUUGCAUCUACAACUGGAUUGGUUCAUACACCGAUUUUUCCCUCUCAAAGGGGAACCUGAUUUCCAAGUUCUGAGAUACACACACACACACACACACACACACAUAUACAUUGUAUGUCUGUUCAUAGUCUUUUGUGUGUUUAUUUGGACUUCCUGUAAUAAAUAGGAAAGAGCUCCCCAGGUAUUUUAGGGACUGAUUAUAUUAAAUGCCAUGUUUGAGGGAAAUAUCCUCUAUACUAUUUUUUUUUUAAUAUGGAAUGCUUCGAGUUUGCAUGUCAUCCAUGCGCAGGGACCAUGCUAACCUUCUCUAUAUCGUUCCAAUUUUAGUAUAUGUGCUGCCGAAGCGAGCACUCCCCUCUACUAUUAUUUUUACUUCCUCUGUAGUUUAUCCCAUUUCAUGAAAGUUACUAUAACUUCAUGUAUCAGAUAACACUUUUAAAGAACAAUCUAGUUAAGCACCUAACACUUUUGCAUCCUGGCUCCACCAUUUACUAGUUCUGCAUCCUUGAGCAUGUCACUUAACUCUCUGGGCCUCCUCCUGUCUACAAAAUUAGUGUAAUACAUAAAGCUCAUAACAGAGCUUAAGUUUGUAAAGAUUAAAUCAUAUCUUCUUAAGGGCUUGGCUCAAUGACCAGUACAUAAAAGCACUCAAUAUGUAUUAGGUUUUAUUUUCAGCUCCCAAAGCCUGUCUAAAUUCAAUAUACACUGUUUUAAC